AACGUAGGGGACAAGCGUUAUCCGGAUUUACUGGGCGUAAAGCGCCCGUAGGCGGCUUGAUAAGUUGGACGUGAAAGCUCCCGGCUUAACUGGGAGAGGCCGUUCAAAACUGACAGGCUAGAGUGAGGAAGAGGAGAGCGGAAUUCCCGGUGUAGUGGUGGAAUGCGCAGAUAUCAGGAGGAACACCGGUGGCGAAGGCGGAUCUCUGGGCCGUAACUGACGCUGAGGAGCGAAAGCAUGGGGAGCGAACAGG
This 253-nucleotide ribosomal RNA is filed under the name uncultured bacterium. RNAcentral's name for it is "partial 16S ribosomal RNA". It matches the Rfam family "Bacterial small subunit ribosomal RNA", at positions 524 to 776 of the family's 1533-position model. The record is from RNAcentral.